RNAcentral lists this long non-coding RNA (1998 nucleotides) under Rattus norvegicus (Norway rat). RNAcentral's name for it is "long non-coding RNA NONRATT012021". The record is from RNAcentral. Lineage: Eukaryota; Metazoa; Chordata; Mammalia; Rodentia; Muridae.
UCCACUCCUGCAGGACUAAAUUCAACAGCGAAAAAGUAUGAGCAACCCUGCAUUAACUAUGGAGAACGAGACUUAACUCUACAAUCAAAAUAAAACCACUCUUGUAAAGUACCAAGGCUGUGGAAGACUGGAACAAGCUUCCAAUUGGAUGGCACCAUUGGCCAAUUGUCCCUUUGGCUAAAUAUGCGAAUUUUGUCUUCAGUGAUGGGGAUCAAACACAGCACUAUCAAGAAUUUCAAGUAAUCACCAAACUGAUGCUUAAAACAGAACACUGUUUAUUCCAAUAUAUAGACUUCUGUAACUAAUACAAAUUACUAUUAACCUUCAAAAGUAAUUAAAAAAAUAUUUUUUGCCAAAAACUGAGAAUAAGUUUAUGGGCCAGUUUUCAUUCAGAUAUUCGGGUUGUCUAAUUUGUCACAUAAUCUCAUUAUUUGGUAUUCUGUUUUAGAAAAUUUAGGUUAAUCUUAAGAUUUAAAAUUUUUCAAGUCACUUUAUCAUGCUAAGCUGUAUUUGGGAGCAGGUAAGAAAUCAUCCUUCCUUAAUUUUUUUAUGAUAUGAAACUACCUUCAUAUGAGAGAGCUGCAUUAACUAUGAAUUCAUUAUGGAGGCCACCUACAGCUAAAGGUUAUCUGUCCUUGGUGGAAGGCUUUAAUUCUAGUUCUAGACUUUGUCUCCCAUUAGAAAAUUCGAACACUGAAGCUUGAGCUCUCUGUUCAAAACAAUUGGAUAAAAACUUUUGUCAGAAUUAAUAUAAUAUUUUGACAAAGAACUUAUAUGAAGAAAUUUAUUUUCAUGUGUUCUCAUUUGAAAUCAGAGGGAAUAUAUGCUAAUUCUUAUCAAGAUUGCCUGGUAAUACUCUUUUGUUGGUUUGGAUGUUAUCAAAUCUGUUUUUUCACUACUUGCUAGGUGUUAUUGUGAAAUGACUGAGUUUCUAAGCAUUUCUGAUAGAUUCAAUCGAUUUUUCCUCCAUGCACACCUGUAUCAUCUCUGUGUCUUUUCAUCAAAACUAUAGUUGUUGAUAUAUAUUCUUCCUCAAAUGCCUAUCAAGAUUAAAUUAUGCAAAUCAUUUAAAAAUGUGGAAGUUUGGUUUACCGUGAACUAAACGACAUGCUGUUUAGAAAUGUAGUUUAAGGUAAACUAAAAUAAUGUGUUUGUUGAUGCCAAAACAUUUGGCCUCAGUAAAUACACUCAGAAGCUCUUGUGCCUUGAAUGCACUAUUUACAAAAAGGAAAACAUCUCAUUAAAAAAAAAAGUCUGGGAAGUAAGUUUUGUAAAUUAACCAUUAGAGUAGUGAGCUGUGCUAUUCCUUUGGUACUAAUUUUGAGAAUUUCAAGUAGAUUAGCUUUUUUUUUUUUCUUAAAAAGGCUAGAUAAUUGACAUACACAAGAAUUCACUACAAACUGAAAGACCUGGAGAGAAUAGAAUAAUGGAAGAUCAUUGCAAUUACUCAGCCUUGCUAGAGCCUUUGGGAAUUUUAGGAGUGUUUAGGAAGAGAUGAUGUCAGUUCCUCGUGUUCCACUUGGGCGCAAUGCUGGGCAUGAGGGUGAGGGUUGCUUUCACAUGAUUUCAAGCUAAAGCCUUUGAUCUGACAAUCUACUUCGAAAGACUCAGAGGAUGAAGUGUGCUUUCCCUUUCGUCUUUAAGCAUGUUUGGGUCAUUUGUCAUUACCGGAAGUGCCAGACUGGAGCUCAUAGCUCCCGCUAGAAGCCUUUUGGGCAGCAGCAUGUGGUGUAUUCGAAGAUCUAUGCAGCAGAUUUUCUGAUAGCACAGUGCUCCCUUAUCCAUCUUCCAGGACAAGAGUCUGUGAGCAUGUCCUUUUAUCAAAGUGGUAGCUGGUGGGGAAGGGGAGGGUUUACAUUCUACCCUGCUAAAAUACUGUUAUUUCUGCUCUCUUUACGUCGUUUAUGUACUUAUUUUAAACACCUAAGUCCAUAGUCCUAGGAGUCAAAAUGGAAAAACAUUUAAAAAAUAAAUUUUUUUCAGUAUGUUGUAAUGGUU